AAAUUGAAGAGUUUGAUCAUGGCUCAGAUUGAACGCUGGCGGCAGGCCUAACACAUGCAAGUCGAACGGUAACAGGAAGCAGCUUGCUGCUUCGCUGACGAGUGGCGGACGGGUGAGUAAUGUCUGGGAAACUGCCUGAUGGAGGGGGAUAACUACUGGAAACGGUAGCUAAUACCGCAUAAUGUCGCAAGACCAAAGAGGGGGACCUUCGGGCCUCUUGCCAUCGGAUGUGCCCAGAUGGGAUUAGCUUGUUGGUGGGGUAACGGCUCACCAAGGCGACGAUCCCUAGCUGGUCUGAGAGGAUGACCAGCCACACUGGAACUGAGACACGGUCCAGACUCCUACGGGAGGCAGCAGUGGGGAAUAUUGCACAAUGGGCGCAAGCCUGAUGCAGCCAUGCCGCGUGUAUGAAGAAGGCCUUCGGGUUGUAAAGUACUUUCAGCGGGGAGGAAGGGAGUAAAGUUAAUACCUUUGCUCAUUGACGUUACCCGCAGAAGAAGCACCGGCUAACUCCGUGCCAGCAGCCGCGGUAAUACGGAGGGUGCAAGCGUUAAUCGGAAUUACUGGGCGUAAAGCGCACGCAGGCGGUUUGUUAAGUCAGAUGUGAAAUCCCCGGGCUCAACCUG
Molecule: ribosomal RNA, 626 nt
Filed under: Escherichia coli
Lineage: Bacteria; Pseudomonadati; Pseudomonadota; Gammaproteobacteria; Enterobacterales; Enterobacteriaceae
Description: bacterial SSU rRNA
Rfam family: Bacterial small subunit ribosomal RNA
Source: RNAcentral